This 425-nucleotide ribosomal RNA is filed under the name uncultured bacterium. RNAcentral describes it as "partial 16S ribosomal RNA". It matches the Rfam family "Bacterial small subunit ribosomal RNA", at positions 354 to 796 of the family's 1533-position model. The record is from RNAcentral.
GUGGGGAAUCUUGCGCAAUGGGCGAAAGCCUGACGCAGCCAUGCCGCGUGGAUGAUGAAGGUCUUAGGAUUGUAAAAUCCUUUCACCGGUGAAGAUAAUGACUGUAGCCGGAGAAGAAGCCCCGGCUAACUUCGUGCCAGCAGCCGCGGUAAUACGAAGGGGGCUAGCGUUGCUCGGAUUUACUGGGCGUAAAGGGCGCGUAGGCGGACAUUUAAGUCAGGGGUGAAAUCCCGGGGCUCAACCUCGGAACUGCCUUUGAUACGGGGUGUCUUGAGUAUGAGAGAGGUGUGUGGAACUCCGAGUGUAGAGGUGAAAUUCGUAGAUAUUCGGAAGAACACCAGUGGCGAAGGCGACACACUGGCUCAUUACUGACGCUGAGGCGCGAAAGCGUGGGGAGCAAACAGGAUUAGAUACCCUGGUAGUCC